This 288-nucleotide non-coding RNA is filed under the name Polaromonas sp. Lineage: Bacteria; Pseudomonadati; Pseudomonadota; Betaproteobacteria; Burkholderiales; Comamonadaceae. The record is from RNAcentral.
CGUAGAAUCGCCCCUGUUGGUGCCCGCAGUGUGGUUCACAUGCUGCAGUUCAACGGGAAGCAGGAGAGCGUCAAAGCCAGGCAUCGGGCCAAGCCCGAAGGCCGGCGCCCAGACCUUCAACCUGCGCUGCCCCCGCAACGGUAAAACGGACGAAUGCGCUUUCCCGGCCUCACGGCCGUGGCGCAUUCAGCUUUCAUCAUCAGCCACUGAGCGCCUUGAACAAGCGUUUGGGAAGGCGAUGGAGGCGGUUCCGUCAGCCCGGAUACCGGCCAACAAGGUGAACGCGCA